ACUGCUCAGUAACACGUGGACAACCUGCCCUUAGGACGGGUAUAAACCCGGGAAACUGGGUAUAAUACCCGAUAGGUCUCGAUUGCUGGAAUGCAUCGAGAUUUAAAGCUCCGGCGCCUAAGGAUGGGUCUGCGGCCUAUCAGGUAGUAGUGGGUGUAGCGUACCUACUAGCCUACGACGGGUACGGGUUGUGAGAGCAAGAGCCCGGAGAUGGAUUCUGAGACACGAAUCCAGGCCCUACGGGGUGCAGCAGGCGCGAAAACUUUACAAUGCUGGCAACAGCGAUAAGGGAACCUCGAGUGCCAGGUUACAAAUCUGGCUGUCGAGAUGCCUAAAAAGCAUUUCAUAGCAAGGGCCGGGCAAGACCGGUGCCAGCCGCCGCGGUAACACCGGCGGCUCGAGUGGUAACCGUUAUUAUUGGGUCUAAAGGGUCUGUAGCCGGCCGGAUAAGUCUCUUGAGAAAUCUGGCAGCUUAACUGUCAGGCUUUCAGGAGAUACUGUCUGGCUCGAGGCCGGGAGAGGUGAGAGGUACUUCAGGGGUAGGGGUGAAAUCUUGUAAUCCUUGAAGGACCACCAGUGGCGAAGGCGUCUCACCAGAACGGACCUGACGGCAAGGGACGAAAGCUAGGGGCACGAACCGGAUUAGAUACCCGGGUAGUCCUAGCCGUAAACGAUACUCGCUAGGUGUCGGCCACGGUGCGACCGUUGUCGGUGCCGUAGGGAAGCCGUGAAGCGAGCCACCUGGGAAGUACGGCCGCAAGGCUGAAACUUAAAGGAAUUGGCGGGGGAGCAC
Molecule: ribosomal RNA, 793 nt
Filed under: uncultured archaeon
Lineage: Archaea
Description: bacterial SSU rRNA
Rfam family: Archaeal small subunit ribosomal RNA
Source: RNAcentral